UACGGAGGUGGCAAGCGUUACUCGGAUUGAUUGGGUGUAAAGGGUAUGUAGGUGGCAAAUUAAGUCGAACGUGAAAUCCCUUGGCUUAACCAAGGAACUGCAUUCGAAACUGAUUUGCUUGAGCGACGGAGAGGAAAGCGGAAUUCCCGGUGUAACAGUGAAAUGUGUAGAUAUCGGGAGGAACACCAGUGGCGAAGGCGGCUUUCUGGACGUUUGCUGACACUGAAAUACGAGAGCUAGGGGAGCAAACAGG
Molecule: ribosomal RNA, 253 nt
Filed under: uncultured bacterium
Lineage: Bacteria
Description: partial 16S ribosomal RNA
Rfam family: Bacterial small subunit ribosomal RNA
Source: RNAcentral